RNAcentral lists this ribosomal RNA (253 nucleotides) under uncultured bacterium. Its description in RNAcentral is "partial 16S ribosomal RNA". It matches the Rfam family "Bacterial small subunit ribosomal RNA", at positions 524 to 776 of the family's 1533-position model. The record is from RNAcentral.
UACGUAGGUGGCUAGCGUUGUCCGGAUUUAUUGGGCGUAAAGAGCGUGUAGGCGGCCAUACAGGUCCGUUGUGAAAACUGGAGGCUUAACCUCCAGACGUCGAUGGAAACCGUAUGGCUAGAGUCCGGAAGAGGAGAGUGGAAUUCCUGGUGUAGCGGUGAAAUGCGCAGAUAUCAGGAAGAACACCCGUGGCGAAGGCGGCUCUCUGGGACGGUACUGACGCUGAGACGCGAAAGCGUGGGGAGCGAACAGG